AAAAAAAAUGUCUGGUAAGUUUUUCCUCUUUAGUGAACUUUCAUUCUGAAAUUUAACAUUUUUUUGGUUUUGAGAUGUUAUAAAAAAUAACGAACUACUUUUAUUUCACGAAAGAAUAUUGAAUUAGAGUCAAAAAUGUAGAUUCAGUUAUAAAAGUUAUCUCUUUAAGAGCCGUGCGUUCUUUCUGUGUAUUGUUACUUUUAAUUAUUACAAUGAUCUACAUGCAAGGUGAAGGUUUAGUAUUCACAUGCAUAUGCAUAAGUACAUGUAUCUUCGACAAAGUAUGCAGUUGUCUGUUUUUAUAUGUUUCAUUUUGAAUGUAGUCAUUUAUCUGAAAUGUGCGCAACGAACUCAACAUGCCCAACAAAUUUUAAAAAAAGUUAUUAUUUUCUUAAACUGGUUAUGGCGUUAUAACAAUAAAUACGUUGAUUGAUACUUAAAUCCGGGAUAACAGUUUAUUUUUUAGUUGUCAUUGUCUGGAGGCUUAUGCAAGUGACUAUUCUCUCGUGUUUAAAGGACUUAUGAAAUAUUAUUGCACAAGACGGGAUUUAAAUCUAUAUGCUCAAACAAACGCAACUGAAAAUAAUAAUCCCAAAAAAGGUGAGCAUGAAUAUUCCUUAAAUGAAAUAUCCUACUGCCUUCCUCAUCUUACUCAUCAAAGGUUAAAUUUCUUAUGCUCAUACAGUUCCAAUAACUUGACUAAAUAUGUUUUAACAAUUGAUUUUUGUUGCUACUUACAAAUUUCAGUUCAAUUUAUGCCUUUUAAUAUUCUUUGCAAUAGAGAUUUGUGCGACAGAAUCAGAAUAUACAGUUUAUUUACUAUUUCGAGUGAUGGUUGAGUUUUUGUUAUAGGAAGCUUUUGCUUAUAUCAUAAACCUUGUUUGUCAUCGGAGAUUUUGAAUACUUCAAAUUUUAUUCAAUUUUUAUUUAGAAAAAUAUUGACAGAACAAUAUUAUUUUCAUUACAUUUCACAUAUUUUUCGGUUUCCUGUUUUCGGAGAUUGUUCACGAUAUAAAUCUUAGUUUUUGAUUCAAAAUACAAAUUGAAUUCAAGAAAUUUUGUUAAUUUCCAUAAACAGUAUAGUUGUUUUAAUAGAAAUAAAAUGUUCCGGUUUCCUAUUUUCUUAGAUUUUAUCGAUAUUAUUCAGUAUUGACCUCAAUAUACUUACAUUUAGUCACACUUCCGUAUACAAUUAUGUUUGUGAAGUUUCAAAUACAGUUAUAUUGAAAUAAAAGAUGAUGUUCAAUUAAUUAUAUAAAUAUUAAAAAAAGAUAAGAGUGCACCAUUUUACUGACCAUUGAUUUAUGUUGAAUGUCUAAAAAAAUAUAUAUAUAUUUUACUGUGGGCAUCACAGAAACUUACUAUUUAUUCAUGACAAUGAGGUCAAAGUCAGAUAAAUUCUGUUAGACAGAUAUGUACGCCUUGCAAUUAUUCCUUACACCAAAUACAGAUUGAGUUUGCUAAGUUUAUUUUUUAAACAGACACAAAAAAAAUAACAAUGUUCAAUUAAUCAUUAAAAUGCUGUCAAGGGAAAAUGAUACCAGCCAAACAGACAUGUACCCUUACAAUUAUUCCAUAUUAUAAAUACAGCUGAACUUUUUUUAAUAGCAUAACUCCAAAAACAUAAAAAAAUCUGGCAUUGACCAAUAAACCAUGGAAGUGAAUUCGACAUCAGAUGUUACCUGCAAGAACGAAAGGCACCCUUUAUAAUCAUUCCAUACACUACUUAUAGGUGACCUAUCGCUUAUUGACUGCGUUAUGAUAGCAAAUUUGAAAAAAGUUACAAGUGUAAAACCAUUCAAACAGGGAAAGUUAAAUCACAAAAAUACUGAACUUAGUGGAAAAUCUAAUCGGAAAGUCCAUAAUAACAUGGCAAAAUCAAAUAUCAAAACACAUCAAAAAAGAAUGGUCAAGAACUAUCAUAUUCCUGACUUGGUACAGGCAUUUUCAAAUGUAGAAAAUGGUUGAUUAAACCUGGUUUUAUAGCGCUAACCCUCUCACUUUAAUGACAGUCUCAUCAAAUUCCGUUAUAUUUACAAUGUUGCGUGAACUAAAGCAUAAUAAAUAAAAUAGUCAAAAUAUGGGUACAGUAGUCAUCAUCGUGUAACAAUUAUAAAAGAAACAAUUUAACAGAACACAAAAACAUAUAUCUACAAACACAUUCAUUGAUUCGCGUGUCUGACAAAACCAAUGGUCUGCAACUUGUCUUUUUGUUCUUAAAAGGUAACAAAAACCUCAUAAUAGGAGUUUUUAUCCUUUAAAAUGACAUUGUCUUUCAUUUUUGUCAAUUUUAUCAUCUUGGAAAUUUAAAAAACAAAAAAAGGGUACCUGUAAACUGCAAAACAAUCACCUUCACUAGACAAGGAAUACGAUGCAACCUUGCAUUUUUAUAGGAAGGGACUGAAUCGUAAAUAUUCUAAAGCAAAGUUGAACAAAUCAGCUUGAAAUAGACAGCACGACAACAAUUGUCAAAAUACUUCUUAUUUACCUUAAUUUUUUUACCUAUUUUGGGCCUUUUCAGGGUUUUUUUAAACUAUACAUUCUAAAGUAGAAAUAGAGGGAAACUAAAACUGUGACUAAAAUUAUUUUCAACAGGACACGAUAUACAAAUAAGAUAACAUUCUAAAAUUAUAAGCAAUAUGACCAGUCAUCAAGAUCUACAAAAAUGAAAGAAGAUUGAAAACUUUUUUCAACUCCUUAUACUUUUGUAGACGAAACGCGCGUCUGACGUAAAUAUAAAAUUUCAAUCCUUGUAUCUAUGAUGAGUUUAAUCAUAUAAAUGUUUGCACUUAAGGUAGAUGGGGGGGGGUCUUAAUUAUAAUCCAUAGAUUUUUUUUAUAUUUUGCAUUAUUGUAGUUUAUAUCCUGCUUGUUUAAAAACAUUAUUUUUAAAAAAAUGGGUCACGGGACUUAUUUUCACACUACAGGUUGUGCAAAAUUGUCAAAUUUUGUAUAGAUUAAGCAUGGAAAACCCAAUUUUCCGCCAUAAGACAAAACCUAAAUCAUAGAAUUUUGAGAUAAAAUAUGAGAAGUUAGCUCCAAUAGUAUACUUUCAGAUAAGAAAAAGAAAAAAACGGGGUCACCGGACUCGUUUUAUUGCUACAUAAUAAAAUGGGUAAAUUCCUAUCACAUUCUAUCGUAAAAGUAACACUAUCUGAAUUAUCUGCCCUUGCAAUUGAGUUGCUUCCCCUUAUUUGGCAAAGUUGGAAAAAGUUGAAUCAAACAAAAGUAUUCGGUUUUUAUGUAAAAUACAACCAUAAAUAUAAUAAAACAUGGUAUUUUCUAUAUUGUUAUGAAAAUUCUUACACAUGAAUUACCUACUACUCUCAAAAGCACAUUUUAUCAAAGAUCUAGAUCUUGUUUUCUGGGAUUUCGACAAUCCAAGAUGGGAGGAAGACACCCUAUUUACCUUAAAUACAUGUUUAACCAUUUCAUUAAUGCGUUCUCAAAAUCAAUAUAGUAGAUAAAGAGCUAUUGUAAACAAUUGCUAAAAUGAUCUGCGUCAGAUUGAAAAAAAAUAUUGCCCUUAUAUUAUUUGAUUUGUGAUAAUACCGAUUUUUUAUGCAAAUGUAUAAAAUGUAUGUCAGCAAAUUUUAAGCCUCUAGUUACAUUUGAGUUACUCAUGUUACUCUUAACAUAUACUUUUUCUUGUAUGAAAUCUUUCUUUUUCAGGAAAACUUGAACAAUAAAGAUACAAUGAUAUAGUUUUUUUUAUUGUUCAAGACAUUUCUGAAAGUAUGGCCCCUCUUUCGGAAGAAGAGGAGAACUAUGUCCGAUUAGCGUUAUUAUUGAAAGGUGUGACACCAAGAGCAGUCCGUACUUAUUUUGACAGAGAAUUUCCACCUACGUAUCUACCCUCAACGUUGAACAGAAACUACAACA
RNAcentral lists this long non-coding RNA (3881 nucleotides) under Mytilus galloprovincialis (Mediterranean mussel). Lineage: Eukaryota; Metazoa; Mollusca; Bivalvia; Mytilida; Mytilidae. The record is from RNAcentral.